RNAcentral lists this ribosomal RNA (388 nucleotides) under uncultured bacterium. Its description in RNAcentral is "bacterial SSU rRNA". It matches the Rfam family "Bacterial small subunit ribosomal RNA", at positions 28 to 416 of the family's 1533-position model. The record is from RNAcentral.
GACGAACGCUGGCGGCGUGCUUAACACAUGCAGGUCGAGCGGUAAGGCCCUUUCGGGGGUACACGAGCGGCGAACGGGUGAGUAACACGUGGGUGACCUGCCCUCAGCUCUGGGAUAAGCCUGGGAAACCGGGUCUAAUACUGGAUAUGACUCCAUGACGCAUGUUGGUGGGGUGGAAAGCCUUGUGCGGCUGAGGAUGGGCCCGCGGCCUAUCAGCUUGUUGGUGGGGUGANGGCCUACCAAGGCGACGACGGGUAGCCGGCCUGAGAGGGCGACCGGCCACACUGGGACUGAGACACGGCCCAGACUCCUACGGGAGGCAGCAGUGGGGAAUCUUGCGCAAUGGGCGAAAGCCUGACGCAGCGACGCCGCGUGAGGGAUGACGGCC